UUUUCAGGUGUGGUAAUAAUUUUUGUGCUACUCAUCGUUAUGCAGAAUCCCAUGAAUGUACCUUUGAUUACAAAACAGAAGGAAGAAAGUUACUAGAGCAGAGUAAUCCAGUAGUUAGUGCUCCCAAAUUACCCAAAAUUUAACUCAGGAUUGAUAUUAGCUCUUCAUUUUAUAAACAGUGCUUAACCACAAAACCAUAUCGUGGCAUACACAAUAUGGAUUAGUUGUUGAAAUAUUUUGUUUUUGGAGUGAUUAAAGUGUUGUUGUUCAGGACUGUGAUAGAAUAAAUACUGUAGUUCAGUCUUUCAUUUUCAUCUCUUAUAAAGGGAAACAUUUUAUCUGAUAAAUCAUUAUUUUAUUCAAUAUUGACUUUUUUUGUUUAAUGAAAACUUGAUUGUUUUAACCCUAUUUGUUUUAAAAAUACAAAUUUUUUGCUUUGCUUUAUGAAUUUUUAUAAUUGUUGAAUAAGUUUUAGACUUAGAAAAAUACAAUAUUAUUUUUAAAGAAAAAUCUUAUUUUAUUUACAAGGUGAUAAAUACAAGUUACUAUUGUAUUAUGUUAUGUUAUGUGAUAGAAAUUUUAUAACCUCAUUAAAUUUCAGGAGAUAAUGAACAGUUUUGUUAGAGAAUGAAAACCUCUUUAAAAUUCUUGCCUUUUUCUAGGUUUCAAAACGUGUUUUACUGCCUGAAAAAUGAUAUAAUCAGUUUAUAUUUAUACAUUUAUAGGUUUUAUAAGCAGUAUGUACAUUUUAUAAGGAGAUUUUAACCAUACAACUUUUAUUUUCUGUAUUUAAAAAUAUUAUACAGUUAUUGUAAAAUUGAAUUUUCAAGAUAAUUUUGAUCAGUUAUUUGACUUUAUCAGAAAUUUAGGUUAGAAAAUGCUAAUCUUGAUAAGAAUUUGCAGAUAAUGAUAAUUUGUGAUGAGUGUGUUCAUUUAUACAUGUAGAUUGGAAAGGAUAUAUGAGAUUAUUUUACUCUAGCCAAAAUGUUUGCUGAUCAUGGUUUAAUUCUAUCCAAUCUUUUUCAUAAUGACACAAGCAAAAUUAGUGUUGCAUGAUGAAUGGGCAGUUCAAAAAAUGAAGUGGUAUAUCAAAAUAAUUUUAUUUAAGGGUGUUGUUUGAGAAAAAUAUUUCUUGUUUGACAUUCAAAGAUUUUAUAUAAAAUAUAAGAAAUAAAACAGAUGAUUUAAGAAAAUUGAGAUAUAAGUUAGAAAUUAUAAAAUAUUUAUUGGGUUUGGUCAAAUUAAUUGUGUUCAAAAAUAGGGGUACAGUACAUGAUAAUGUUUUGAAAUGUACAUACUGCUGCUGAAUUAUAUAGCAAUAUAUAUUUUUAAAACAUAAUUUACAAGAAAUACUAAAUAUUUAAUGAUAAAAUUUCUAGCAUUGCAAAUAUGUGCAAAAUUAAUUACAAAAACAUAUAUGAUGAUAGCUUUCAUUUGAAUUUAUUUUGAAUGUUAUAUUAUAUUGUGUUGCUCAGAAGGCAGGCUAUCUUCAAACAUUCCAAUAUACAUGUCUAACCAUAUUAUAUUGAGUCUAAGAUUUAUUGUCCAUCACUAUGUUUCUUUCAUAUUCUUGUUAUAUAUAAGGGUAGCUUUAAUGAAAUUAGACUAUUUUGUGGUGCAAAUAUUAACAUUUUCAUGUUUAUAACAAAUGGCAAACCUAAACUUUUUCUGUGAUCAAACUUGUUUACAUUUUUGUUGCACUUAAGUUUUUUUUGUUUUUUUCUGAAUAAUUUUCAGUUUUGUGAAUUUUUCCUCGAAUUAGAAUAUUUCAUUUAUUUUAAUAGCAAUGCUUUAAAUAGAUUUACACAAUUUUUAUAGAUCAUAACAUGAAAUUUUGGUAUGUUAUUUAUUAAUUAUAAAUUGAUAUAGAAUAUUAGAGCCAUAUCUUAUAUGGAAUUUCAAAAAUGAAUAUAAUUGUCUUAAGAUCGUGAACUAUAAUUUUUCAUUUUUGUAAUUCCAAUGGUGCUAUAUCAAGUAAUCUACUUAUUUUUUGAUUUGAGGAAUAAUUUGUUGAUAUAUUAAUAGGUAGCUGAUGUGUUCCUAUGUUAGGGGCUGUUCUGUAUGCUAGUAUGACAUGAUUGGAUGGCUGAGAUUUUGUUGUUUUAGUUUGUGUAUGUCUGUUGUUACUGUUAUGACCACAUUAAUCAUGUUCAGACAACUGUUUAAGUUAGGUGCUACAAAAUUAUGCUAUAAAUAAUUUUACAUUUUUUUGACAGAUAUUAGAUUCAGUAUACUAAAAAAUACAAUUAAACAGUGUAAACUUCAUUUUAAUUGAUUUAUUAGGCCUAAAAUAAAAUAUUGUUUGUUUCCCCAAUCCCGACCGACCCUGCAAAAAUGGUGCUAUUCAUGAAAUUUUAUUGUCAAAAGUAAGUCAAAUAUUAUUUUAUUCAUUUCUGAUUUUCAGGCUUGCUGGAUCGUCCGAUAAUGUUCAAGCUUUUCGGAAAAUAAAAUUAUUUCCCUACCUACCUACCCACACCUGGCUCGGCAGGGUCGGGAUUGGGGAAACAAACAAUAUAUUAAUCUAGGCCUUAUCUGUUUGUUAUUGGUCAAAGGGAAAUAACUCAUGCAACUUAAAAACAUGAGAAAAUUUAUGAAAUUAUGAAUAAUCAUAAUAAAAAUCAUUUGUUAGCUGUAUUUUGUAGCAUCCUAACCAUUACAACAGUAAAUUAUACUCUCUCUCAUUGUGAGUUAAUAAUGCAGUGAUUGUAAAUUGUGCACUGAUAACUGAGUGUGAAUAAAUAAAUUCUUUAAUUUGUAAUGGUUGUUACUUUAUUG
This 2775-nucleotide long non-coding RNA is filed under the name Mytilus galloprovincialis (Mediterranean mussel). Lineage: Eukaryota; Metazoa; Mollusca; Bivalvia; Mytilida; Mytilidae. The record is from RNAcentral.